UAACGAAUCUUCCGCAAUGCACGAAAGUGUGACGGAGCGACGCCGCGUGUGGGACGAAGUUCUUCGGAAUGUAAACCACUGUCAGGGGUUAGAAAGUUCUGAUCAACCCCAGAGGAAGGCACGGCUAACUCUGUGCCAGCAGCCGCGGUAAUACAGAGGUGCCGAGCGUUAGGCGGAAUCACUGGGCUUAAAGCGUGUGUAGGCGGAUUUCUAAGUGUCUUGUGAAAUCCCAUGGCUCAACCAUGGAACUGCUGGAUAUACUGGGAAUCUUGAGCUACCUAGGGGCGACCGGAACAAAUGGUGGAGCGGUGAAAUGCGUAGAUAUCAUUUGGAACGCCAAUGGUGAAAACAGGUCGCUGGGGGUAUGCUGACGCUGAGACACGAAAGCUAGGGGAGCAAACGGGAUUAGAUACCCCCGUAGUCC
RNAcentral lists this ribosomal RNA (424 nucleotides) under uncultured bacterium. RNAcentral's name for it is "bacterial SSU rRNA". It matches the Rfam family "Bacterial small subunit ribosomal RNA", at positions 355 to 796 of the family's 1533-position model. The record is from RNAcentral.